AUGAAGGGCAUCACAGGGGUCAAGAGCAAGGAGCUCCUCAUCUGGGUCACUGUCUGUGACAUGUACAUCGAUAGGAAUGACCACUCAAAGAUCACGUUCAAACGCCCACAGGACUGGGAAGGACCUUCCCCGUCUCCGCCUACGGAAAGGAGGAUGACAACAAGCACGACGUGGCCAAAUAAGAAACCACGGCCGGCAUAA
This 201-nucleotide ribosomal RNA is filed under the name Triticum aestivum (bread wheat). RNAcentral's name for it is "partial small subunit ribosomal RNA". The record is from RNAcentral. Lineage: Eukaryota; Viridiplantae; Streptophyta; Magnoliopsida; Poales; Poaceae.